GAAUUACAAAUAUUUUAGAGAAAUAGACUGGUGCGAAAUGGCGUCCCUUCUUCCAAAAGACGGUGUCCUUCUUGACCUUACUGGCCAAGCUCCUCCACCUUCAAAGAAUUUUCACGAAUUCAAGAUAACCACAACUGAAGUGAUAUGGAGAACAUGGGUGAUUACACUGAGGAAUGAUGCUAAGAGGCUUAGUCCAGGUGAAAAUAUCGAACCAUUGGAAGACUUCCAGCAUGAUGAAAGAAUGCAGUUUGAUGUUAGCAAAGUAUUUGGCGAAGGUGUUUUGAACUACACAAUGCUCCUUUCCAAGGGAUGUUUUGAUUAUAUCAUGAGGGUUCCCAAACCUUUGAUGCUCUACAUGUGCUCAUUCCUAGAGUUGGAAGAUAUUGCCAGACUGUCACAGACCUGCAAGAGUUUUUAUGAGCUCUGUAGUGCAGAGGCAUUAUGGGAGCAGAUCUAUGAGACGCAUUGUGGUACAGCUGUCACAGAUGAAAUGAGGUCUUUGGCUGAGGAAAUGGGAUGGAAGAAGAUGUUCUUCACUAAUAAACUUCAACUCCAGGUCAAACUAAGAAGACAUCAACAAAGGAUCCAAUCUCCAGAUAGUGGCACCAGAGCAUUCCUGACAGAAGAUGAUUAAAGUCGGAUGGAUAAUGUAAAACAAUGAUGAAAUAAAGUGUCCUUUCACGGUUAGAGUACAGUCAUGAGACCAUGAAAUCAUCUGCUAACAGCCAGAAAGGUGUAGCUGAAAAUUGCUUUGUAAAGAAUAAUCAAUCUACACCUUUCUGACUGUCAGCAGAUCAAAGUGUUAACUGUUUUUUGGGGGUUAGGGUUUGGAAGUGUCAUUACUAUUUUACUGCGUGUGAAUGAUGUUUUUGCUGCACAGAAUAUCAGAUAUGAGAAGAAAGAUUGUUUGGACUCAUUAUUGCCAAUGCUGCCCUCUAUAGUUGGAUAAUGAAAAAGUGGGAUAACACACAUUGAGGACACUUGCUGUGGCUGUGCUUGAAGUGCUCAUAAUUGCUCCAAGAUGCAAUAAAGCAUUCAGAAGUGGACUUGACCUUUGAUGAAGAGUUUGUCAGUGAUUUUCACCGACUAAUUUGUUCUCAGCCAAUCAGAAUCAAGGAUUUUGGUUGCUUAUAAUGAAUAGUCGGUGAAAAUUCUGACUUCUUGUUUCAUGAAAUGUUCCCCUGAUGUUUUACAGCUGAAUGAAGGUUGGAUGUAAAAUUGGUUAAUGGGAUUUGAUUAUAUAGAAUGUCUUGAAAUAGACUAGACUUUUUCUGCUUGUGAUCUGUUAAAGAGGAAAUGGUUUCAGUGUAAGGUCAUGAACAGGAAUAUUUACCAGGGCCCCGUCUGACAAAGAGUUGAGAUCGAUCUAAUCAAUUGCAACUAUGGAAAGCCAGCAAAAACAACAUCUAAAAUGCAUGUUUGUUUAAAAGAAUAGAUAUAUAUUCAUAAAUUCAUUGAUUUCUUGACAAUUUGGUGUGUUCUACUUUGUUUACAAAGGACAUUUUGCAAAUUUCUUGUAAAAAGAAUUAUGACAUUGAUGUAUUUACAUAGAGUUACGAUUGAUUGGAUCAAUUGUAACUCUUUGUAAGACAGGGCCCUGAUGUUGAAUAUAGUUGAGUGGUAUUAGGAUGAAGUUUUUCAAUUGAUUUUUCAAAAUGGUUUUCAUGGGCAUAGGCAACAGUUCACAAAUGUUGCCAAAGAUGAAAAAUCGCAGUAUGGAAUAGUUUGGCAGGGAUUUAGAAGUAUGAAUUUCUUGUUAACAUUUCAAGUAAUGAUGCACCAGAACCGCCAUGUUUGGAGAAGCUUUGGAUCCUACAUUGUAAUACACGCUAAUGCUGAAUUUGUCAUUUGCAUCCAUUGCCAUUUGUUCUUGAUGAAAAAAAACGGUCUUAUCAGAUUUGUGGCCUUUUAUGUAUAUAGAGAUUUUAUGCUGUAAAACCAGGCAGAAUAAACAAACUAAGAAAAAUAUGUAAUUUGAUGAUAGACAAUUUAAUAGAUUUAACUUUAUGCUGAAAUAAUCCAUCCACUAGUGUAACUUGUCAGAUUUAAUCAAUUUUCUAUAGAAAAAGUUGAAUAGUGUUUGUGGCAAGCAUUCCUUAUUUCUAUAUUGAAUUACAUUCCUUUAUUAUAAAAUCAAAGUCAAUUGUGUUCAAUAUAUUCAAGGAUUUAGUCAAAUUUAGCAAGGUAGUAAAUUUCAUCUAUCGAAGCUGUAUGCCUUGAAGAGACUAGACUGGUUAUGCUGAAUUGCUGGUGUUUCCAUGUAUUCAUGGAUAUUCAACAGUUCGAAAAUAAACAGAUGUAUAAUAAAUGUGAUCAAAUAUAAUUUUCCACAUAUCAAUAAAUAUGCAUCCAUAUAGAUAAUGUACUGUAUAUAUCUUGUAAAUUUAUGAGAUUUAUUCUUGUUAAAACAAUGCAGUGUUUUAUUGUAAAUUUGCUUGUUACAGUUCAUUCCUUUGUUUAUGAAACAAUUUGAAUAAAUAUUUUAUUGUCUUGAAAUAUCUGACCAUUGAGAUUUGUUUUCUUUGAAAAGCAGAUUAUGCAAAAGUUGAUAUUGAUAUGCCAUCUUUCUCUUAUUCACAAAUGCUGAAAUUUAAUGCUUAAGUCCCUAGUAUUUUGUUUUCUAAAAUGCAAGUUUCAUUUUCUUUGGCGUUAUAGUAUUAAAAAAUAAAUAUGAUAAAGCUUACUCACUGCAGUUUACAAUGCAAGCAACACUGUGAAUAGGUUUGAUGGGCAGAUUUUCCAUGUAUGCACUUUUGGGCCUGAAAUUUGUGUUUUUCAAUUAAUUCUAUGUUUUCAAAUUGCUUUAUUGACUUUUUCAUAUUCUGAAAACUGGAAAUUUUCAUCAACAUUUGUCCCUGACCCAAAAUCCACAAUCACAUUACAAUUACAUUUCGAAACGAUUCUGUAUUUUUCAUAUAUAUCUUGUAAUGUCACUUAAAAAGCUGCACACAAAAUUUUUUUAAACAUCUUGUUGAAUCCACCCUUCUCAUGCAUAAGCUACUCAUAAAAUGAAAGAAUUUUACAGAACCGAUCAAACAUGUUUUACUUAAAUUUUUUCUUGCAAUGUUAAAAAUGGCUUGGUUCUGAUGACUGCAGUGAAUUUUCAAGCAUGUAUACCAACAUAGCUCAUAC
RNA transcript from Lytechinus pictus (painted urchin), 3132 nucleotides. It is a transcript of the gene named F-box only protein 36-like, with no coding region annotated. The record is from RefSeq and is a predicted model, not a curated record. The transcript has 6 exons. Lineage: Eukaryota; Metazoa; Echinodermata; Echinoidea; Temnopleuroida; Toxopneustidae.